GAUGAACGCUGACAGAAUGCUUAACACAUGCAAGUCAACUUGAAUUUGGGUUUUUAACUUAGGUUUGGGUGGCGGACGGGUGAGUAACGCGUAAAGAACUUGCCUCACAGCUAGGGACAACAUUUGGAAACGAAUGCUAAUACCUAAUAUUAUGAUAAUAGGGCAUCCUAUAAUUAUGAAAGCUAUAAGCGCUGUGAGAGAGCUUUGCGUCCCAUUGGCUAGUUGGAGAGGUAACGGCUCACCAAGGCGAUGAUGGGUAGCCGGCCUGAGAGGGUGAUCGGCCACAAGGGGACUGAGACACGGCCCUUACUCCUACGGGAGGCAGCAGUGGGGAAUAUUGGACAAUGGACCAAGAGUCUGAUCCAGCAAUUCUGUGUGCACGAUGAAGUUUUUCGGAAUGUAAAGUGCUUUCAGUUGGGAAGAAAGAAAUGACGGUACCAACAGAAGAAGUGACGGCUAAAUACGUG
RNAcentral lists this ribosomal RNA (467 nucleotides) under uncultured bacterium. RNAcentral describes it as "partial 16S ribosomal RNA". It matches the Rfam family "Bacterial small subunit ribosomal RNA", at positions 28 to 507 of the family's 1533-position model. The record is from RNAcentral.